AUCUAUGGCCAUCCCACCCCGAAUGCGCCUGAUCUCACCUGGUUUUACAAGCUAAGCAGGUUUGAGCCUGGUGAGUACUUGGAAGGGAGAAAUUGUAAUUU
RNAcentral lists this ribosomal RNA (101 nucleotides) under Propithecus coquereli (Coquerel's sifaka). Lineage: Eukaryota; Metazoa; Chordata; Mammalia; Primates; Indriidae. The record is from RNAcentral.